GAUGAACGCUGGCGGCGUGCCUAAUACAUGCAAGUCGAGCGAACAGACGAGGAGCUUGCUCCUCUGACGUUAGCGGCGGACGGGUGAGUAACACGUGGAUAACCUACCUAUAAGACUGGGAUAACUUCGGGAAACCGGAGCUAAUACCGGAUAAUAUUUUGAACCGCAUGGUUCAAAAGUGAAAGACGGUCUUGCUGUCACUUAUAGAUGGAUCCGCGCCGCAUUAGCUAGUUGGUAAGGUAACGGCUUACCAAGGCAACGAUGCAUAGCCGACCUGAGAGGGUGAUCGGCCACACUGGAACUGAGACACGGUCCAGACUCCUACGGGAGGCAGCAGUAGGGAAUCUUCCGCAAUGGGCGAAAGCCUGACGGAGCAACGCCGCGUGAGUGAUGAAGGUCUUCGGAUCGUAAAACUCUGUUAUUAGGGAAGAACAAAUGUGUAAGUAACUAUGCACAUCUUGACGGUACCUAAUCAGAAAGCCACGGCUAACUACGUG
Molecule: ribosomal RNA, 497 nt
Filed under: uncultured bacterium
Lineage: Bacteria
Description: partial 16S ribosomal RNA
Rfam family: Bacterial small subunit ribosomal RNA
Source: RNAcentral